This 949-nucleotide long non-coding RNA is filed under the name Homo sapiens (human). RNAcentral's name for it is "HSALNT0350541". The record is from RNAcentral. Lineage: Eukaryota; Metazoa; Chordata; Mammalia; Primates; Hominidae.
CACAGUGAGACCUCCUCUCUAUUAUUAACAUAAUAAUAAUAAUAAAGAAAUUGAAAAAAAGAAAGCACCACUGCAAAUAUUCCAGUUGAUUCGCCCUGCCCUCAAAAGACAUGUGUCACACCAAGCAACUAACACCCAUGUUGUAACUGCCCCAGAGGAAAGACGUUCAACGGCUGAGGAGACCACAGCGGCAACUAGGUCACUUCCUAUUCGAAGAAAAAGGAGGAGAUGCCAUCUGGCAAAUUCGAGGAACAUCUGCCUUUCCUGGUGACACCCUCUGCCCUGCAGUCUUCAUUUUCCCUGGAUAGCCCAGCGUCAUUUAAAUACUCAGAAGCCUCUCUGCCUUUCUAUGCUGUUGUCUGCAAAGAGAUGAACGGACCUGUGCAGACGGCUGGCCAGUGACGCCGGGAUCUCUAGGUCCUUCCAAAGUGCCUACGGAAAGCUUUGUCCCAUCCUUGAAAAAUUGCUAAUGGGUUUGGAGAUACGAGGUGGAGAUGACUAGCAAUCAAACUCAAAGGUGGAAGUCACAUCGAGGCAGAUGAGCAGAUGAGGGGACCUAGAGAAGAAGAGAGGUGCAAGGAGAGCCCAGCCAGCAGGAACAUCUGCCCCAGUAGGCAGCACUGCCCCACAUCAGAGUCGAGGAAAGCAAAGCUCGGAUUGGAUAAAAGAAACUUGCAAACACGGUCAGUGCUUACUGCAUGUGGGCUCAGAGCACGUUACCCUCCUUCCCUGCAUGUUCCUGUGAAACGGGUUUACUGCUCUAACUCUCAGGGACACUGUGAAGACCAAACGAGAAAAUAGAAACAAACAUAAUUUAUAAACCAUAAAGUACUGACACCAAAAGAGGGGCGAGCACAGCAUUGUGAAUGUGCUGGUACUAAAUGGUUUGUUUUAAGAUGAUUUUAUGGUGUGUGAAUUUCACUUGAAUAAAUUUUUUUAAUGGAGUUCA